RNAcentral lists this ribosomal RNA (1491 nucleotides) under metagenome. RNAcentral describes it as "bacterial SSU rRNA". It matches the Rfam family "Eukaryotic small subunit ribosomal RNA", at positions 340 to 1801 of the family's 1831-position model. The record is from RNAcentral.
CCAGCCAAGCCAGUCACGCUUACGGGGGUUUAGGGAUCGACUCCGGAGAGGGCGCUCGAGAAAUGGCGCCCACGUCUAAGGACGGCAGCAGGCGCGUAAAUUACCCAAUGAGAAAUUCUUGAGGUAGAGAAGACGCAUAUCAACGAUGGGCGCAAUAGUGCCGAUCGAUUGAAAUGGGGCGAGUCUAAACCACUCGCCGAGUAACAAGUAGAGGGCAAGUCUGGUGCCAGCAGCCGCGGUAAUUCCAGCUCUACGAGUAUAUAUUUACGUUGUUGCGGUUAAAAAGUUCGUAGUCGGAGUUUUGUUGCGCCGCGCGAGCGCGUCGAGAAAUUCGGCGCAUCGUGCGCGCUUCAUAUCGGACGGAUCCGGAGGCGUUGGGAUUAAUUUCUCGGCGUCGCCAACCGUCCAUAGCCCCGUGAAUAACUCAGAGCGUUCAAGGCAGGCCUUAGGGUCGUUGAAUGUCAAAGCAUGGGACGCUGGAAAAGGACUGAAUUCCUUUUGCUGGUUCAAGCGAAUUUAGUAAUGAUUAAUGGAAACGAUUGGGGCCGUGGGUAUUUGUUGGUGAGAGGUGAAAUUCUAUGAUCCAAUGAGGACCAUCUACUGCGAUAGCAUUCGGCCAGGGCGUGUUCGUCGAUCAAGAACGAAAGUGCAGGGAUCGAAGAUGAUCAGAUACCGUUGUAGUCUGCACCCUAACCGAUACCAACCAGGGAUUCGGCAGCGAUCUUAUUGUCCUGUCGAGCACCUCAGGGGAAACCAGAGUUUUUGGGUUCCGGGGGGAGUACGGAUGCAAUACUGAAACUUAAAGGAAUUGACGGAAGGGCACCACCAGGGGUGGAUUUUGCGGCUUAAUUUGACCCAACGCGGGAAAACUUACCGGGAUAGGAGAACGAAAGGAGGGACUGAUUGAAAGCUCAUUCCCGAUACGUUCGAUGGUGGUGCAUGGCCGUUCUUAGUUGGUGGAGUGAUUCGUCUGGUUGAUUCCGUUAACGAGCGAGACCAACAUCUCUUACUAGGGGGAGUUUGUGGCUAAUGGUGAAGGCGAUGGGUGGCGGCUCUUCGGAGAAGCUACUUCUCGUUGGAUCCGUGUCAGCAAGCUCAACCUUCUUAGCGAGACAACCGGCAAAAAGCCGGAGGAAGUUGUUGGCGAUAACAGGUCUGUGAUGCCCUUAGAUACUCCGGGCCGCACGCGAAAUACAAUGGAAGGAACAGCAAGUUAUCCUGGGCCGGAAGGCUUGGGUAAACUGCAAAUCCUUUCGUGAUGGGGAUUGACACUUGCAAUUAUUUGUCAUGAACGAGGAAUCCCUUGUAAUUGCGAUUCAUUAUAUCGCAGUGAAUCUGUCCCUGCCCUUUGUACACACCGCCCGUCGCUUCUACCGAUGAUUGAGUCGAUGAGGCCGGAGGGGAGAUACUCGUCUGGUGGGCAACUGCCUUGAGCGUCUCGAAUCCGUCCAAAUCUCCUCUGUUAAAGGAAGAAGAAGUCGUAACAAGGUA